RNAcentral lists this ribosomal RNA (253 nucleotides) under uncultured bacterium. Its description in RNAcentral is "partial 16S ribosomal RNA". It matches the Rfam family "Bacterial small subunit ribosomal RNA", at positions 524 to 776 of the family's 1533-position model. The record is from RNAcentral.
UACGGAGGGGGCAAGCGUUGCUCGGAUUUACUGGGCGUAAAGCGCGCGUAGGCGGUUUAGUAAGUCUGGUGUGAAAUCCCACGACUCAAUCGUGGAAGUGCAUUGGAUACUGCUAGACUGGAGUACAGGAGGGGUAGGCGGAAUUCCUGGUGUAGAGGUGAAAUUCGUAGAUAUCAGGAGGAACAACGGCGGCGAAGGCGGCCUACUGGACUGUUACUGACGCUGAGGCGCGAAAGCGUGGGGAGCAAACAGG